UUUAUGCUAAUAGGAUGCCCCACAAGUCAUU
Molecule: non-coding RNA, 31 nt
Filed under: Rattus norvegicus (Norway rat)
Lineage: Eukaryota; Metazoa; Chordata; Mammalia; Rodentia; Muridae
Source: RNAcentral